This 1405-nucleotide ribosomal RNA is filed under the name Microbacterium sp. Ishi 8/5b. RNAcentral describes it as "bacterial SSU rRNA". It matches the Rfam family "Bacterial small subunit ribosomal RNA". Lineage: Bacteria; Bacillati; Actinomycetota; Actinomycetes; Micrococcales; Microbacteriaceae. The record is from RNAcentral.
AGUCGAACGGUGAAGCCAAGCUUGCUUGGUGGAUCAGUGGCGAACGGGUGAGUAACACGUGAGCAACCUGCCCUGGACUCUGGGAUAAGCGCUGGAAACGGCGUCUAAUACUGGAUAUGAGACGUGAUCGCAUGGUCGUGUUUGGAAAGAUUUUUCGGUCUGGGAUGGGCUCGCGGCCUAUCAGCUUGUUGGUGAGGUAAUGGCUCACCAAGGCGUCGACGGGUAGCCGGCCUGAGAGGGUGACCGGCCACACUGGGACUGAGACACGGCCCAGACUCCUACGGGAGGCAGCAGUGGGGAAUAUUGCACAAUGGGCGGAAGCCUGAUGCAGCAACGCCGCGUGAGGGAUGACGGCCUUCGGGUUGUAAACCUCUUUUAGCAGGGAAGAAGCGAAAGUGACGGUACCUGCAGAAAAAGCGCCGGCUAACUACGUGCCAGCAGCCGCGGUAAUACGUAGGGCGCAAGCGUUAUCCGGAAUUAUUGGGCGUAAAGAGCUCGUAGGCGGUUUGUCGCGUCUGCUGUGAAAUCCCGAGGCUCAACCUCGGGCCUGCAGUGGGUACGGGCAGACUAGAGUGCGGUAGGGGAGAUUGGAAUUCCUGGUGUAGCGGUGGAAUGCGCAGAUAUCAGGAGGAACACCGAUGGCGAAGGCAGAUCUCUGGGCCGUAACUGACGCUGAGGAGCGAAAGGGUGGGGAGCAAACAGGCUUAGAUACCCUGGUAGUCCACCCCGUAAACGUUGGGAACUAGUUGUGGGGACCAUUCCACGGUUUCCGUGACGCAGCUAACGCAUUAAGUUCCCCGCCUGGGGAGUACGGCCGCAAGGCUAAAACUCAAAGGAAUUGACGGGGACCCGCACAAGCGGCGGAGCAUGCGGAUUAAUUCGAUGCAACGCGAAGAACCUUACCAAGGCUUGACAUAUACGAGAACGGGCCAGAAAUGGUCAACUCUUUGGACACUCGUAAACAGGUGGUGCAUGGUUGUCGUCAGCUCGUGUCGUGAGAUGUUGGGUUAAGUCCCGCAACGAGCGCAACCCUCGUUCUAUGUUGCCAGCACGUAAUGGUGGGAACUCAUGGGAUACUGCCGGGGUCAACUCGGAGGAAGGUGGGGAUGACGUCAAAUCAUCAUGCCCCUUAUGUCUUGGGCUUCACGCAUGCUACAAUGGCCGGUACAAAGGGCUGCAAUACCGUGAGGUGGAGCGAAUCCCAAAAAGCCGGUCCCAGUUCGGAUUGAGGUCUGCAACUCGACCUCAUGAAGUCGGAGUCGCUAGUAAUCGCAGAUCAGCAACGCUGCGGUGAAUACGUUCCCGGGUCUUGUACACACCGCCCGUCAAGUCAUGAAAGUCGGUAACACCUGAAGCCGGUGGCCCAACCCUUGUGGAGGGAGCCGUCGAAGGUGGGAUCGGUAAU